RNAcentral lists this ribosomal RNA (472 nucleotides) under Hansenula anomala. RNAcentral's name for it is "eukaryotic LSU rRNA". It matches the Rfam family "Eukaryotic large subunit ribosomal RNA", at positions 146 to 631 of the family's 3401-position model. The record is from RNAcentral. Lineage: Eukaryota; Fungi; Ascomycota; Saccharomycetes; Phaffomycetales; Wickerhamomycetaceae.
UAAUUUGAAGAUGGUAACCUUGGGUUUGGCUCUUGUCUAUGUUCCUUGGAACAGGACGUCAUAGAGGGUGAGAAUCCCGUCUGAUGAGAUGCCCAUUCCUAUSUAAGGUKCUAUYGAAGAGUCGAGUUGUUUGGGAAUGCAGCUCUAAGUGGGUGGUAAAUUCCAUCUAAAGCUAAAUAUUGGCGAGAGACCGAUAGCGAACAAGUACAGUGAUGGAAAGAUGAAAAGAACUUUGAAAAGAGAGUGAAAAAGUACGUGAAAUUGUUGAAAGGGAAGGGCAUUAGAUCAGACUUGGUGUUUUACGAUUAUCUUCUCUUCUUGAGUUGUGCACUCGUAUUUCACUGGGCCAGCAUCGAUUCGGAUGGCAAGAUAAUGGCAGUUGAAUGUGGCUUCACUUCGGUGGAGUGUUAUAGCUUCUGCUGAUAUUGCCUGUCUGGAUCGAGGGCUGCGUCUUUUGACUAGGAUGCUGGCG